UCCCGGGAACGUAUUCACCGCGACAUGCUGAUUCACGAUUACUAGCAACUCCGGCUUCAUGCAGGCGAGUUGCAGCCUGCAAUCCGAACUGGGAUCGGUUUUUAAGAUUUGCUCCUCCUCGCGGUAUUGCUUCUCUUUGUACCGACCAUUGUAGCACGUGUGUUGCCCAAGGCAUAAAGGGCAUGAUGAUUUGACGUCAUCCCCACCUUCCUCUAAGUUAACCUUAGCAGUCCCUUUAGAGUGCUCAACUUAAUGUUAGCAACUAAAAGUAGGGGUUGCGCUCGUUGCAGGACUUAACCUAACAUCUCACGACACGAGCUGACGACA
Molecule: ribosomal RNA, 327 nt
Filed under: uncultured bacterium
Lineage: Bacteria
Description: partial 16S ribosomal RNA
Source: RNAcentral